GUAGGUGGCAAGCGUUGUCCGGAAUUAUUGGGCGUAAAGCGCGCGCAGGCGGUUCUUUAAGUCUGAUGUGAAAGCCCACGGCUCAACCGUGGAGGGUCAUUGGAAACUGGAGAACUUGAGUACAGAAGAGGAAAGCGGAAUUCCACGUGUAGCGGUGAAAUGCGUAGAGAUGUGGAGGAACACCAGUGGCGAAGACGGCUUUCUGGUCUGUAACUGACGCUGAGGCGCGAAAGCGUGGGGAGCAAACAGGAUUAGAUACCCUGGUAGUCCACGCCGUAAACGAUGAGUGCUAAGUGUUAGGGGGUUUCCGCCCCCCUUAGUGCUGCAGCUAACGCAUUAAGCACUCCGCCUGGGAGUACGGCCGCAAGGCUG
RNAcentral lists this ribosomal RNA (372 nucleotides) under uncultured organism. RNAcentral's name for it is "partial 16S ribosomal RNA". It matches the Rfam family "Bacterial small subunit ribosomal RNA", at positions 527 to 896 of the family's 1533-position model. The record is from RNAcentral.